RNAcentral lists this ribosomal RNA (490 nucleotides) under uncultured bacterium. RNAcentral describes it as "bacterial SSU rRNA". It matches the Rfam family "Bacterial small subunit ribosomal RNA", at positions 30 to 511 of the family's 1533-position model. The record is from RNAcentral.
AUUGAACGCUGGCGGCAUGCCUUACACAUGCAAGUCGAACGGCAGCACGGGAGCAAUCCUGGUGGCGAGUGGCGAACGGGUGAGUAAUGUAUCGGAACGUACCUUUCAGUGGGGGAUAACGUAGCGAAAGUUACGCUAAUACCGCAUAUUCUGUGAGCAGGAAAGCAGGGGAUCGCAAGACCUUGCGCUGAUUGAGCGGCCGAUAUCAGAUUAGCUAGUUGGUGAGGUAAAGGCUCACCAAGGCGACGAUCUGUAGCGGGUCUGAGAGGAUGAUCCGCCACACUGGAACUGAGACACGGUCCAGACUCCUACGGGAGGCAGCAGUGGGGAAUUUUGGACAAUGGGCGCAAGCCUGAUCCAGCCAUGCCGCGUGAGUGAAGAAGGCCUUCGGGUUGCAAACUGCUUUUGUACGGAACGAAACGGACUCUUUCUAAUAAAGGGAGCUAAUGACGGUACCGUAAGAAUAAGACACCGGCUAACUACGUGCCAG